This 71-nucleotide transfer RNA is filed under the name Camelus bactrianus (Bactrian camel). It matches the Rfam family "tRNA". Rfam says of the family: Transfer RNA (tRNA) molecules are approximately 80 nucleotides in length. Their secondary structure includes four short double-helical elements and three loops (D, anti-codon, and T loops). The record is from Rfam by way of RNAcentral. Lineage: Eukaryota; Metazoa; Chordata; Mammalia; Artiodactyla; Camelidae. RNAcentral also lists the same sequence under 2 other names.
GUGUCUAUAGCUCAGUGGUAGAGUGCAUGCUCAGCAUGAAUGAGGUUUGGGUUCAAUCCCCAGUACUUCCA